RNAcentral lists this ribosomal RNA (383 nucleotides) under Strombidiidae sp. Its description in RNAcentral is "partial small subunit ribosomal RNA". It matches the Rfam family "Eukaryotic small subunit ribosomal RNA", at positions 582 to 975 of the family's 1831-position model. The record is from RNAcentral. Lineage: Eukaryota; Ciliophora; Spirotrichea; Strombidiidae.
AUUCCAGCUCCAAUAGCGUAUAUUAAAGUUGUUGCAGUUAAAAAGCUCGUAGUUGGAUUUCUGGGAGGGUGCCAAUGUCCGUCGUCGUACGUGUUGCAGCGGCGCCCUUCCAUCCUUCUGUUAACGACUUUGGGCAUUCACUUGCCGGAGUCGGGCUCAGAUAUUUUACCUUGAGAAAAUUAGAGUGUUUCAGGCAGGCUAGGCCGGAAUACAUUAGCAUGGAAUAAUGGAAUAGGACUACGGUCUCUUUGUUGGUUUGAGGGACUGCAGUAAUGAUUAAUAGGGAUAGUUGGGGGCAUUAGUAUUUAAUUGUCAGAGGUGGAAUUCUCGGAUUUGUUAAAGACUAACUUAUGCGAAAGCAUUUGCCAAGGAUGUUUUCAUUA